AUAUUGGGCAAUGGGCGAAAGCCUGACCCAGCCACGCCGCGUGAGUGAUGAAGGCCUUCGGGUUGUAAAGCUCUGUGGGGAGGGACGAAAACCCGUGGUUCGAAUAGGGCCAUGGCUUGACGGUACCUCCUUAGCAAGCACCGGCUAACUCUGUGCCAGCAGCCGCGGUAAGACAGAGGGUGCGAACGUUGCUCGGAAUUACUGGGCGUAAAGCGCGUGUAGGCGGACCAUUAAGUCAGGUGUGAAAUCCCUGGGCUCAACCCAGGAACUGCACUUGAAACUGGCGGUCUUGAGUGAUGGAGAGGGAUGCGGAAUUCCCGGUGUAGAGGUGAAAUUCGUAGAUAUCGGGAGGAACACCAGUGGCGAAGGCGGCAUCCUGGACAUUGACUGACGCUGAGACGCGAAAGCGUGGGGAGCAAACAGG
This 424-nucleotide ribosomal RNA is filed under the name uncultured bacterium. RNAcentral's name for it is "bacterial SSU rRNA". It matches the Rfam family "Bacterial small subunit ribosomal RNA", at positions 361 to 776 of the family's 1533-position model. The record is from RNAcentral.